GGCUCAGUGGUCUAGUCGUAUGAUUGUCGCUUCGUAAGUUGCCUAUCGGACUCGUGUUUACCAGGAGAUCACCUCAGAGAGCACUUCCUAACAAUCACCAGGGGUACCAAGCCCAGAUACAAAGUAUCGGAGAUGUGACAGGUCCCGGGUUCAAAUCCCGGCUGAGCCC
Ascochyta rabiei is the source of this 169-nucleotide non-coding RNA. Lineage: Eukaryota; Fungi; Ascomycota; Dothideomycetes; Pleosporales; Didymellaceae. The record is from the annotation of a RefSeq genome assembly.